UGGGGUGUGGCUCAGUGGUAGAGUGCUAGCCUAGCACGUGUGAGGCACUGGGUUCAAUCUUCAGCACCACAU
RNAcentral lists this transfer RNA (72 nucleotides) under Urocitellus parryii (Arctic ground squirrel). RNAcentral's name for it is "Spermophilus parryii (Arctic ground squirrel) tRNA". It matches the Rfam family "tRNA". Rfam says of the family: Transfer RNA (tRNA) molecules are approximately 80 nucleotides in length. RNAcentral also lists the same sequence under 1 other name. The record is from Rfam by way of RNAcentral. Lineage: Eukaryota; Metazoa; Chordata; Mammalia; Rodentia; Sciuridae.